GAUGAAGAACGCAGCGAAAUGCGAUAAGUAAUGUGAGUUGCAGAAUUCAGUGAAUCAUCGAAUCUUUGAACGCAUCUUGCGCUCCUUGGUAUUCUGAGGAGCAUGCCUGUUUGAGUGUCAUUAAAUUCUCAACUACACUGACUUUGAAUUGGUGUGGCUUGGAUUUGGGGGGAAAAUUGUUGUGGGCUUUUUGUAUAGUCUGCUCCCCUGAAAUUGAUUAGCGGUACCUUUGUGGAACUGUCUACAGGUGUGAUAAUUAUCUACAUCUUAGACAUCUGCUGGAAUGCUGCUUUCUAAACCUUACUUGUAUUGACAAUCUUGACCUCAAAUCAGGUAGGACUACCCGCUGAACUUAAGCAUAUCAAUAAGCGGAGGA
RNAcentral lists this unclassified non-coding RNA (376 nucleotides) under soil metagenome. Its description in RNAcentral is "partial contains 5.8S ribosomal RNA, internal transcribed spacer 2, and large subunit ribosomal RNA". The stretch from base 1 to 120 matches the Rfam family "5.8S ribosomal RNA", at positions 35 to 154 of the family's 154-position model. The record is from RNAcentral.